GAAGGAAGUGCUGGGCAUUUUCUGGAGAGCGGGGUUCAAAUGGAGAAAGGGAGACACGGGGUGUUUUCUGGAGAGCGGGGUUCACAACGGCGAUCGUGAGUUAUCAUCAGGCGACUGGGGUUUGACUGGAGAACGGGGUUCAUGAUUUGGCAAACAAGAGUAAUAUGAAGUUGUCGGGGUUCAAAUGCGGUGAUCAGGGAUCAUACACGCGAAAAUAAUUGUUCGGGGUCCAAGAAAAAGCAAA
Molecule: long non-coding RNA, 244 nt
Filed under: Lathyrus oleraceus (garden pea)
Lineage: Eukaryota; Viridiplantae; Streptophyta; Magnoliopsida; Fabales; Fabaceae
Description: Pisum sativum (pea) long non-coding RNA (PSAT_LNC006280)
Source: RNAcentral